UAAAAGACUGUGGACUUAUUCCAGAUUAGAAGAAACUAAAGAGACAUAGCAAUUAAAUGAAAUAUUAUUACCCUGGAUUGAAUUCUUUGCAAUAUAGGAUAUUAUUGGGAAAUCGAUGACACUUGAAUUGAGGUCUGUGAUUUCAUAAUAGAAUAAUGUAUCAAUGCUAAUUUCCAGAUUGUGGUGGUUGUAGAGUAGCUAUGUGGGAAAAUGUCCUUGUUUUUAGUAAAAAUGCCCCAAGGAAUUCAGGGAUAAUGAGGAUUGUGUCAUCAAAUGGUUCAGGAAAAAAAAAAAAAAAAUGUUCCUUAUAGUAUUUAAAAAAAGGAGGGGGGGGCUUAAACCAAACUAACAUCAAUCUAAAUUAUGAUUUAAUCUAAAGUUUGGUCCUAUUAAAAACAAUUUUUUGUUGUUGUUGCAGGCGCGGCUCGGAUCCCGCGUUGCUGUGGCUCUGGCGCGUAGGCCGGUGGCUACAGCUCUGAUGCUACCCCUAGCCUGGAAACCUCCAUAUGCCGCGGGAGCGGCCCAAAGAAAUAGCAAAAAGACAAAAAAAAAAGAAAAAAAGAAACAAUGUAUCUCUCUGAUAAAUAUAAAAAAUGGUUAAAAUAAUAAAAAGAUAAAUAUAUAUAUUUUUAAAUACUGGAGAUUUGUGGAUUCAAACUAAAAAGAAACUCAGUUCCAGAAAGGAAUGAGCCCUUUUGAGGUGGGCAGAGACCAGAAGGAAAUUUCUUCCCUGGAAACACCUGCCAUGCCUUUUUUUCAGUGACUAGGGGAACUGGCUUGGCAUAGACAGAAUGGCUUUGAAUAGGAAAAGCCCAACAUAAACAGCCUCUUGGGCAGAUAUGAUGGUUUGGAAUCUGUGAAUCUCAAAAUGUAGUUCUACUCCCUGUUCACUGAAUAUUUCCCAAUGAAUAUUCACUAAGUGUAUGAGAGUGGAUUGGCACUUGGCUAGAUGAACAGAAUACACAGAGAAAUAUCUGUAGUUGCAAAGUUCUAAUAUUUCAAAUUUCUGCUAGUUGCUAGGUGAAAGGGGUUAUGUUAUACAUAAAGAGAGAACAGAUCCAUUCCCCCAAUGCAUUUGAAGUAAACAAGGAACUGAAACCAAUGAAAAUGGAAAGCGGAAUGUUGGAGCCCAAGUUGGGUUACGUGGUGGCAAUGCAAGUCACUAUGCAAAUAAAGACUCUUGGGAGGUUAUGCAUGGGUUAUCUCUGAGGUUCCCCCAGUGUUUAUCUGCACUCUUUUGCUGCAUUGUAUGCUUUGCCUUUAAAUAAAAGCUGUACUCAGUAUGUUAUUUUUUAAUUUUUAAAUUAUAGUUGAUUUACUGUGUUGUUCCUAUUUCUGCUGUACAGUGAAGUGGCCCAGUCAUACGUAUAUAUACAUUCUUUUUCUCAUAUCAUCCCCUCUCAUGUUCCAUCCCAAGAGACUGCACACAGUUUCCUGUUGCUAUACAGCAGGACCUCAUUGCUUAUCCAUUCUAAAUGUAAUAGUUUGCAUCUACCAAUAUCAAACUCCCUGUCUAUUCCACUCCCUUCCCUUUCCCCUUCCCCUUGGCAAGCACAAGUCUGUUCUCCAUGUCUGUGAGUCUGUUUCUGUUGUGUAGAUAGGUGUUCAUUUGUACCACAUUUUAGAUUCCACAUAUAAAUAAUAUGUUUGUCUUUUGCUUUCUGACUUCACUUAGUAUGAGAAUCUCUAAUUGCAGCCACGUUGCUGCAAAUGUCAUUAUUUCGUUCUUUUUUGUGGCUGAGUAGUAUGCAAUUGUGUAUAUGUAACACAUCUUCAUAACCUAUUCAUCUGUUGAUGGACAUUUAGGUGGUUUCCAUGUCUUGGCUAUUGUGAAUAGUCCUGCUAUGUGUCUGCUGGCCAUCCAUAUGUCUUCUUUGGAGAAAUGUUUAUUUAGGUCUUCUGCCCAUUUUUUGAUUGGGUUUUUGUUUGUCGUUGUUGAGUUGUAUGAGUUGUUUUAUAUUUCUCAUAAAUUAAGUCCUUGUCAGUUGCAUCAUUUGUAGGUUGUUUUCUUUUUUAUGGUUUGUUUCCUUUGCUGUGCGAAAGCUUGUGAGUUUGAUCAGGUCCCCUUUGUUUGUUUUUAUUUCUAUUGUCUUGGGAGACUGACCGAAGAAAACAUUUGUAUGGUUGAUGUCAGAGAAUGUUUUGCCUAUGUUCCCUUCUAGGGGUUUGGUGGUGUCUUAUGUUUAAGUCUUUAAGCCAUUUUGAGUUUAUUUUUGUGCAUGGUAUGAAGGUGUGUUUUAGUUUCAUUGAUUUAGCUGCAGCUGUCCAGUUUUCCCAGCACCACUUCCUGUCUUUUUCCCAUUUUAUAUUCUUGCCUCCUCUGUUGAAGAUUAAUUGACCAUAGUGGGUUUAUUUAUGUUCCAUUGAUCUGUAUGUCUGUUUUGGUACCAGUACCACACUGUCUUGAUUACUGUAGCUUUAUAAUAUUGUCUGAAGUCUGGGAGAGUUAUACUUCCUGCUUCCCCCGCCCCCCAUCCCCCAGGAUUGCUUUGGCAAUUCUGGGUCUUUUAUGGUUCCAUAUAAAUUUUUGGAUUAUUUAUUCUAAUUCUGUAAAAAAUGUCAUGGGUAAUUUGAUAUGGAUUACAGUAAAUCUGUAGACUGCUUUUGUUAGUAUGGCCAUUUUAAUGAUAUUAAUUUUCCCAAUCAGGAGCAUUGGAUAUCUUUCCAUUUCUUUGAAUCCUCUUUAAUUUCUUUGAUUAAUGUUUUACAGUUCUCAGCAUAUAAGUUUUUCACCUCCUUGGUCAGGUUUAUUCUUAGGUAUUUAAUUUGGGGGUGUGUGAUUUUAAAAAGUAUUGAUUUUUUAAUUUCUUUUCUAAUAUUUCAUUAUUAGGAUACAAAAAUGCAACUGAUUUCUGAACAUUAAUCUUAUAUCCUGCUACUUUGCUGAAUCCAUUGAUCAGACCAAGUAGUUUUUGUGUGGAGUCCUUAGGGUUUUCUAUAUAUAGUAUGAUGUUAUCUGCAUAUAGUGACAGUUUUUACCUCUUCUCAUCCAAUUUGCAUAGCUUUUAUUUCUUUUGUUUGCCUGAUUGCCAUGGCUAGACCUUCAAUACUAUGUUGAUUAAAAGUGAUGAGAAUGGGCAUCUUUGUCUUGUUUCAGAUUUUAGCUGGAAGGCUUUCAGCUUUUCUCCAUUGAGUGUUAUAUUGUCUAUGGGUUUGUCAUAAAUGGCUUUUAUUAUGUUAAGGUGUGUUCCCUCUAUACACACUUUGGUAAGUUUUUAUCAUGAAUAGAUGUUGGAUUUUGUCAAUUGUGUUUUCUGCAUCUAUUGAGAUGGUCAUGUGGUUUUUGACUUUCGUUAAUGUGUUGUAUUAAAUUGAUUGAUUUGCAGAUGUUGAACCAUCCGUGAACUUGGGAUGAAUCCUACUUGGUCGCAGUGUAUGAUCUUUUUUAUGUGUUGUUGGAUUUGGGUGGCUAAAAUUUUGUUGAGGAUUUUUGCUUUUAUAUUUAUCAGCAAUCUUGGCCUAUAAUUUUCUUUUUGUAGUAUCUUUGUCUCGUUUUGGUAUUAGGGUGAUGGUAGCUUCAUAGAAUGUUUUUGGGAAUGUUCCUUCUUCCUCAUUCUUUUGGAAAAGUUUAGGAAGAAUGGGUAUAUGUUCUUCAUAUGUUUGGUAGAAUUCACCUGUGAAGCCAUCUGGUCCUGGACUAUUGUUUGUGAGGAGUGUUUUUAUUAAAUAUUCAAUUUCAUAUCUAGUGAUCGGUCUGUUCAGAUUAUUUAUUUCUUCUUGAUUCAGUUUUGGUGGGCUGUAUGUCUCUAGAAAGUUGUCCAUUUCUUCUAGGUUGUUAAAUUUGUUGGCGUAUAAUUGUUCAUAGUAUUGUCUAAUGGUUUUUUGUAUUUCUGCAGUAUCAGUUGAGAUUUCUCCUUUUUAAUUUCUUAUUUUAUUUGUAGUCUCUCUUCUUGGUGAGUCUGGCCAGAGGUUUGUUAAUUUUGUUUACCCUUUCAAAGAACCAGCUCUUUGAUUUUUUUUCUGUUUUUUAAUCUCUAUUUUAUUAGUUUCCCCUGAUCUUUAUGAUUUCCUUUCUUUUGCUGACUUUUGGUUUGUUUAUUUUUCUUUCUCUAAUUCUUUUAGAUGGUAGGUUAGGUUGUUGAUUUGAGAUUUUUCUUCUGUUUUGAGGAAGGCCUGUAUUGCUGUGAACUUAACCUCUAAGAACUGUUUUUGCAGCAUCCCAUAGAUUUUGAAUGGUUGUGUUACUCAGUAUGUUCUAUGAGUAAUUAUGCUCCAUUAAGAAUAAGUAUGUUCUAAGAAGUCUGGUGAGUCCCUUUCAACUAUCUAAACUUGGGGAAUCUUUGUAAAACCUCAAAGAAUACUCAAUAAAUUCCAAGAAAUGGAAAUAAUAUAAGCAAUAUUCAUUUACCACAUGUAGUAAACUAGAAGCUAAACAAAACCAGAAAGAUACCAUAACUAGGAAAUACUAGAAACAUGUUAUGAAGCAACUCUUAUGUCAAAAGGGAAAUCCAAAAUCAAAAAAAUGCAAAUUUUUUUUUUAAGUCCACACCAACAACAUAUGGAAUUUCCUGGGCCAAUGAUGGAAUCUGAGCUGCUGUUGCAUUUGGAUUCUUAACCCACUGCCCCACAGUGAGAACUCUACAAAAACUUGGAAUUUUUUAACAGCAAGCUUGAAAAACAUGACAUGUCAGAAAACUAUGGAAUACAGCAAAAGCAUUUACCAGAGGAAAAAUCAAACGUUAAAUACAC
Molecule: long non-coding RNA, 4689 nt
Filed under: Sus scrofa (pig)
Lineage: Eukaryota; Metazoa; Chordata; Mammalia; Artiodactyla; Suidae
Description: lncRNA (ENSSSCG00005002166.1)
Source: RNAcentral